UACGUAGGGGGCUAGCGUUGUCCGGAAUCAUUGGGCGUAAAGCGCGUGUAGGCGGUUCGGUAAGUCCGCUGUGAAAGUCGGGGGCUCAACCCUCGAAUGCCGGUGGAUACUGUCGGGCUAGAGUGCGGAAGAGGCGAGUGGAAUUCCUGGUGUAGCGGUGAAAUGCGCAGAUAUCAGGAGGAACACCAAUUGCGAAGGCAGCUCGCUGGGACGCUACUGACGCUGAGACGCGAAAGCGUGAGGAGCAAACAGG
RNAcentral lists this ribosomal RNA (253 nucleotides) under uncultured bacterium. RNAcentral's name for it is "partial 16S ribosomal RNA". It matches the Rfam family "Bacterial small subunit ribosomal RNA", at positions 524 to 776 of the family's 1533-position model. The record is from RNAcentral.